UUAAGAGUAGGGAUUCUGUUCC
Molecule: microRNA, 22 nt
Filed under: Gallus gallus (chicken)
Lineage: Eukaryota; Metazoa; Chordata; Aves; Galliformes; Phasianidae
Description: gga-miR-6694-3p
Source: miRBase by way of RNAcentral